RNAcentral lists this unclassified non-coding RNA (240 nucleotides) under soil metagenome. RNAcentral's name for it is "partial contains 5.8S ribosomal RNA, internal transcribed spacer 2, and large subunit ribosomal RNA". The record is from RNAcentral.
AACCUUAUGGACCUGCGGGCGUAUACCUGCGGAAGGAUCAUUACCGAGUUAGGGUCUUUUGGCCCGACCUCCAACCCUUUGUUUAUUAUACCAUGUUGCUUUGGUGGGCCUGCCUUUCAGGGCUGCCGGGGGCAUCGCCGCCCCUGUCUCGUGCCUGCCAGGAGCCUUCUUAAAUUCAGUGUUCAACGGUGCUGUCUGAGUCCCAGUCGCAAAAUAUCAAAAACUUUCAGCAAUGGAUCU